UGGGGAAUUUUGGACAAUGGGGGGAAACCCUGAUCCAGCCAUCCCGCGUGUGCGAUGAAGGGCCUUCGGGUUGUAAAGCACUUUUUGGCAGGAAAGUAAACGUCGCGGGUUAAUACCCCGCGGAACUGACGGUACCUGCAGAAUAAGCACCGGCUAACUACGUGCCAGCAGCCGCGGUAAUACGUAGGGUGCAAGCGUUAAUCGGAAUUACUGGGCGUAAAGCGUGCGCAGGCAGGUUUCGGAAAAGAAAGAUGUGAAAAUCCCAGAGCUUAACUUUGGAACUGCAUUUUUAACUACCGGGCUAGAGUGUGUCAGAGGGAGGUGGAAUUCCGCGUGUAGCAGUGAAAAUGCGUAGAUAUGCGGAGGAACACCGAUGGCGAAGGCAGCCUCCUGGGAUAACACUGACGCUCAUGCACGAAAAGCGUGGGGGAGCAAAACAGGAUUAGAUACCCUGGUAGUCCACGCCCUAAAACGAUGUCAACUAGCUGUUGGGGUCUUCGGACCUUGGUAGCGCAGCUAACGCGUGAAGUUGACCGCCUGGGGAGUACGGUCGCAAGAUU
This 560-nucleotide ribosomal RNA is filed under the name uncultured bacterium. RNAcentral's name for it is "partial 16S ribosomal RNA". It matches the Rfam family "Bacterial small subunit ribosomal RNA", at positions 355 to 895 of the family's 1533-position model. The record is from RNAcentral.